Long non-coding RNA from Anolis carolinensis (green anole), 1451 nucleotides. RefSeq lists it as uncharacterized. Lineage: Eukaryota; Metazoa; Chordata; Lepidosauria; Squamata; Anolidae. The transcript has 2 exons. The record is from RefSeq and is a predicted model, not a curated record.
AACCAUGGAAUCAUGCUGGAAAAUCCAACAAUUUCUAGAGAGUUGUUCUCUUAGGAAAAAAGUAAAAAAUUCUUUAUUUGUGGUUUUUUAUUUUGAUGAGGUCCUUUGAUGCUAACCCCAGCAAAUGUGGAAGGAUGAUUGUAGAUUUUGAAUGAACUAUCUAAAGUACUAAAACUGUAUCCUCAAAAUAAAUGCAGCAGCCUGGAUUGUUCCAUUACCAUCUGAAAUGUCAUGCUGAUAGAUUCACCAGAUCCUGCAACAUGGAAGCUACUGACUGCCUUGGGUAGAGUUCAAAUGGAUUCUGCCCAAGGCAGCAAAAAUAUUUUGAGAUGGCUCUCGGUCUUUUUCAGCAAGCUCUUUCAAUAGUACAGUACAGGGCUGGGAUUUUCCUAUGACCGCAGAGACAUUAAUGCCUUGCAACAGGCAUUGUUCUCUACUCAGCUUCUACUUUGAAACAAACUUUGAUUUUUCCUGUUUUUCCCUUUUGAUUUAGCAAUUAUCAUCUUGAGGCUAAAAUGCCUGUAAAGGAGGCAAGGAAGCCAGAUUGGAAGAGGAGGCGGUGAGAGUUCGGAGUGAGGGAAAGCAGGAGAGUGUGUGUAUGUGUAUGUUGUACCAGUAAAACUUAAAGCUAGGGAAGAGAAGAAUGUUGAUGGUAUGGCAGUUAAACUAGUUGGUUGCCUUUUUCUUUUUGUUAUACCUAACUUGUUGCUUUAAUUUGGAACUAUUUUUUGUUUCUCUUUCCCACAAAUCUAAGGCUACAGGAGAUUUCUUUCACCCCACAUUAGGGGGCAAUUUUAAUGCCAUAGUAAGAUAUUUUAAAACGUAUGACAGAUAAUAUCAGUACUUGGGUGACUAAAGCAUAUCACUUUUGGCCUCAGUUCUGGAAGAUAUGUUGGUGUCAUAAUGAGUGGUAGAAGCUGCCAUGUCAUAUCCCGGGGAGAAGAAACUGUUCUCUGCUUAUAACGCUUAGUGAAAUUGUGUUCUAGUCCUGUCUGCUCAAACAGGAGAAAAACAAGUCUGCUCCAUCUCCUACAUGACAGCUCUUCAGAUAUUUGAAGACAGCUAUCGAGUACUGCCUGCAAGGAGCAUCAUCAUCUUUGCAAAGGUGUUUGUUUCGAGUGCUAAAUUUUCCCACUUGUGACUUAAACCUUGACAGAAGGUUGGACUUGAUUACCUUUUUGACCUUUCUAGAUUCUUUUUAAAAAAUGUAUUGUUCUUUGAUUCAAGAAAACAACUAGUGUAGACUUAAUUGUAUAGACUAUGAAACCAUUCUUUGUUGGUUGUAACUAGCAGACACUUACCUUUAAGUAAAUUAAAGACUUUGAUGUUAAUUAAAGACUGUGAACAACUAAAUUUGGUAUGUAAGGAAACUAUUACUUUGUCCACCUAAGAGUUAUGUUUAUUUUUAAGGCUUAUCCAUGUGAUGGUCUUAUAUGUCCAUAUUUUUCUUU